CAGCCGCCGCGGGAAUACGGAGGGUGCAAGCGUUAAUCGGAAUUACUGGGCGUAAAGCGCACGCAGGCGGUCUGACAAGUCAGAUGUGAAAUCCCCGGGCUUAACCUGGGAACUGCAUUUGAAACUGUCAGGCUGGAGUCUUGUAGAGGGGGGUAGAAUUCCAGGUGUAGCGGUGAAAUGCGUAGAGAUCUGGAGGAAUACCGGUGGCGAAGGCAGCCCCCUGGGCCAAUACUGACGCUCAUGCACGAAAGCGUGGGGAGCAAACAGGAUUAGAUACCCGCGUAGUCCCUGUCUCUUAUAC
Molecule: ribosomal RNA, 301 nt
Filed under: uncultured bacterium
Lineage: Bacteria
Description: partial 16S ribosomal RNA
Rfam family: Bacterial small subunit ribosomal RNA
Source: RNAcentral